UCUGAAAUCAUUAUAAAUUUAUGAUUAUUUCUUGAAAAAAAUUAGGUGAAAUAAAAAAAAAUGUAAAAAAAGGAAAUUUAGGUCGGUUCCAUCUUUUCGUUCUUGAGUUUGUUUUAUGGGUUAUAUUCAUUAUCUCUUUCCAUUAUGGGUUAUAUCUUAUUGGCGUUAUUGGCUUUUCAAAAUAAAAUUAUAUAUUUAUUAUAUGUUGUUUCC
Molecule: long non-coding RNA, 213 nt
Filed under: Capsella rubella
Lineage: Eukaryota; Viridiplantae; Streptophyta; Magnoliopsida; Brassicales; Brassicaceae
Description: long non-coding RNA (CRUB_LNC004844)
Source: RNAcentral